This 343-nucleotide unclassified non-coding RNA is filed under the name Hevea brasiliensis (rubber tree). Lineage: Eukaryota; Viridiplantae; Streptophyta; Magnoliopsida; Malpighiales; Euphorbiaceae. The record is from RNAcentral.
AUAAUCUGUAUGUGUUUGGCAUACAAUAGCUGCAUAUAUAAAAAGGUUGAGAAAGCUACAGCUCCUAGGUUUAAGUAUCACUGAAUCACGUUCAUUAUUUGACCAUAAUUUUAUGAUUGAUGUUGGGUAAACUCAAUGGUAUUGUACUAUGUUUGAUAUAUCUAGCAUUAUGGAACCAAGGUCCAAUGUUAUUCAGUUAAUAAGAAAACAUAUUAAAUUUGUGGGAGGUAUCUUGUUAGAUCUAUCAAAUGGGCAUAAAGAAUUAACAACAUAGCAAUGAAGGAUGGCACUUUCUUGUUUCUGAUUUUAGUCGGCAACCAUUAUUUCCAUGGGUUGGUUGGUG